AGGAUUAAGGCCCUAAAGUUUGAUUGGUAAGUUAUUUUAGCUCAUUUUCCUAUGAUUUUUAUGUUUAUGGAUGCCUCAUUCAAAGUUCUACAUGUAUGAGGUUAAAAUGAAGAAAAAUAGAGAAUUUUUAGAUAUUGAUUUAGUUGAAUAAAUUGAGGUUUUAUGGGUUAAAUUGAUAGAAAUUGAAGUUAGAAGUGAUUAGUUAAAUGAAUUUCUAAGUUAGGUUUAAAUAGGGACUAAGUUGAAUAGAGCUCAAAAUUUAUGUUUUAUAAUGAAUUUUAUGAGUUAGAAAUUGUUAAUGAGUUGAUUAAAAGAGAAUAUGAAGCUUAAGUUAAAGAAAAAAAUAUUAGU
This 351-nucleotide long non-coding RNA is filed under the name Gossypium barbadense (sea-island cotton). RNAcentral's name for it is "long non-coding RNA (GBAR_LNC002944)". The record is from RNAcentral. Lineage: Eukaryota; Viridiplantae; Streptophyta; Magnoliopsida; Malvales; Malvaceae.